Molecule: ribosomal RNA, 408 nt
Filed under: uncultured eukaryote
Lineage: Eukaryota
Description: SSU rRNA
Rfam family: Eukaryotic small subunit ribosomal RNA
Source: RNAcentral
GCAGCUGCGGUAAUUCCAGCUCCAAUAGCGUAUAUUAAAGUUGUUGCAGUUAAAAAGCUCGUAGUUGGAUUUCUGGGAGGGUGCCGAUGUCCACUUAACGUGUGCGCAGCGGCGCCCUCUCAUCCUUCUGUUAGCGUCUCUUGGCAUUCAUUUGCUGGUGGCGGGCUCAGAUAUUUUACCUUGAGAAAAUUAGAGUGUUUCAGGCAGGCUAGGCCGGAAUACAUUAGCAUGGAAUAAUGGAAUAGGACUACGGUCUCUUUGUUGGUUUGAGGGACUGCAGUAAUGAUUAAUAGGGAUAGUUGGGGGCAUUAGUACUUAACUGUCAGAGGUGGAAUUCUCAGAUUUGUUAAAGACUGACUUAUGCGAAAGCAUUUGCCAAGGAUGUUUUCAUUAAUCAAGAACGAAAGU